GACGAACGCUGGCGGCGUGCCUAAUACAUGCAAGUAGAACGCUGAAGGAGGAGCUUGCUUCUCUGGAUGAGUUGCGAACGGGUGAGUAACGCGUAGGUAACCUGCCUGGUAGCGGGGGAUAACUAUUGGAAACGAUAGCUAAUACCGCAUAAUAUUUACUAUUGCAUGAUAGUCAGUUGAAAGGUGCAACUGCACCACUACCAGAUGGACCUGCGUUGUAUUAGCUAGUUGGUGGGGUAACGGCUCACCAAGGCGACGAUACAUAGCCGACCUGAGAGGGGGAUCGGCCGCACUGGGACUGAGACACGGCCCAGACUCCUACGGGAGGCAGCAGUAGGGAAUCUUCGGCAAUGGACGGAAGUCUGACCGAGCAACGCCGCGUGAGUGAAGAAGGUUUUCGGAUCGUAAAGCUCUGUUGUAAGAGAAGAACGAGUGUGAGAGUGGAAAGCUCACACUGUGACGGUAGCUGACCAGAAAGGGACGGCUAACUACGUG
This 495-nucleotide ribosomal RNA is filed under the name uncultured bacterium. Its description in RNAcentral is "partial 16S ribosomal RNA". It matches the Rfam family "Bacterial small subunit ribosomal RNA", at positions 28 to 507 of the family's 1533-position model. The record is from RNAcentral.